This is a long non-coding RNA of Cyprinus carpio (common carp), 1583 nucleotides long. The record is from Ensembl. NCBI's taxonomy places the organism in Eukaryota, Metazoa, Chordata, Actinopteri, Cypriniformes, Cyprinidae.
CACGAGGAGGAAUAGAGCGAACCCUGUACUUACAGUACGCUGUGUCCAGCCCAGAGGUGAAAGCCAUCCAAAGCAGAGUAACUGUGCUUUGCGUCCAAGUUGAUACCUGUGGAGAGAAAAGGAGAGAGAGUGAAUAACACGAGGAGGAAUAGAGCGAACCCUGUACUUACAGUACGCUGUGUCCAGCCCAGAGGUGAAAGCCAUCCAAAGCAGAGUAACUGUGCUUUGCGUCCAAGUUGAUACCUGUGGAGAGAAAAGGAGAGAGAGUGAAUAACACGAGGAGGAAUAGAGCGAACCCUGUACUUACAGUACGCUGUGUCCAGCCCAGAGGUGAAAGCCAUCCAAAGCAGAGUAACUGUGCUUUGCGUCCAAGUUGAUACCUGUGGAGAGAAAAGGAGAGAGAGUGAAUAACACGAGGAGGAAUAGAGCGAACCCUGUACUUACAGUACGCUGUGUCCAGCCCAGAGGUGAAAGCCAUCCAAAGCAGAGUAACUGUGCUUUGCGUCCAAGUUGAUACCUGUGGAGAGAAAAGGAGAGAGAGUGAAUAACACGAGGAGGAAUAGAGCGAACCCUGUACUUACAGUACGCUGUGUCCAGCCCAGAGGUGAAAGCCAUCCAAAGCAGAGUAACUGUGCUUUGCGUCCAAGUUGAUACCUGUGGAGAGAAAAGGAGAGAGAGUGAAUAACACGAGGAGGAAUAGAGCGAACCCUGUACUUACAGUACGCUGUGUUCAGCCCAGAGGUGAGAGCCAUUCAAAGCAAACUAACUGUGCUAUUGUGCCCAAGUUGAUACCUGUGGAGAGAAAAGGAGAGAGAGUGAAUAACACGAGGAGGAAUAGAGCGAACCCUGUACUUACAGUACGCUGUGUUCAGCCCAGAGGUGAGAGCCAUUCAAAGCAAACUAACUGUGCUAUUGUGCCCAAGUUGAUACCUGUGGAGAGAAAAGGAGAGAGAGUGAAUAACACGAGGAGGAAUAGAGCGAACCCUGUACUUACAGUACGCUGUGUUCAGCCCAGAGGUGAGAGCCAUUCAAAGCAAACUAACUGUGCUAUUGUGCCCAAGUUGAUACCUGUGGAGAGAAAAGGAGAGAGAGUGAAUAACACGAGGAGGAAUAGAGCGAACCCUGUACUUACAGUACGCUGUGUCCAGCCCAGAGCCGUUGCCUGUGGAGGAAGAGAAAGAGACCGUUGCCUGUGGAGGAAGAGAAAGAGAGUGAGCACCCCGAGAACGAACUGUGUGAACCAGUACUUACUGUGAGCUGCAAUCAGCGAAGAGCCGUUGCCUGUGGAGGAAGAGAAAGAGAGUGAGCACCCCGAGAACGAACUGUGUGAACCAGUACUUACCGUGAGCUGUAUUCAGCGAAGAGGAGGAAGAAGGAGGGCGCUACGGAUACCUAAGACUCAGGCCGGGGCCCGAGUCCCACGCCCCGGAUCCCCGUGGCCCCCUUGCUCCCUGACCUCUUCCCGGCCAUAGCCCAUCUGGAGGGCCGAGUCAGAGUUUAGUUUUAAUUGCCCUUUUCCUAUUCCCCAAGCUAUUUUUAAAUAUUUAAAUAAAGAUUGUUUUAUCACUUACUUGUUCUCGUGU